AGAGCCCCCCGCGGCGCUCACGUGACCGGGGCGGGCGGAAGAUGGCGGAGCCGCCCGGGGCCGCGGCCGAGGACUCGUGGGGCAAGGUGGACGCCGCCUACGGUGACAACGGCCUGGACUCGGCGCUGCUCGGGGACUGCGCCCGCAAGGGGAGCGUCGUGUCCCGCGCCAACAGCAUCGGCUCCACCAGCGCCUCGUCCGUCCCCAACACGG
Long non-coding RNA from Cygnus atratus (black swan), 213 nucleotides. RefSeq lists it as uncharacterized. The transcript has 3 exons. The record is from RefSeq and is a predicted model, not a curated record. NCBI's taxonomy places the organism in Eukaryota, Metazoa, Chordata, Aves, Anseriformes, Anatidae.